This 497-nucleotide ribosomal RNA is filed under the name uncultured bacterium. Its description in RNAcentral is "partial 16S ribosomal RNA". It matches the Rfam family "Bacterial small subunit ribosomal RNA", at positions 28 to 507 of the family's 1533-position model. The record is from RNAcentral.
GAUGAACGCUGGCGGCGUGCCUAAUACAUGCAAGUCGAGCGAACAGACGAGGAGCUUGCUCCUCUGACGUUAGCGGCGGACGGGUGAGUAACACGUGGAUAACCUACCUAUAAGACUGGGAUAACUUCGGGAAACCGGAUCUAAUACCGGAUAAUAUAUUGAACCGCAUGGUUCAAUAGUGAAAGACGGUUUUGCUGUCACUUAUAGAUGGAUCCGCGCCGCAUUAGCUAGUUGGUAAGGUAACGGCUUACCAAGGCAACGAUGCGUAGCCGACCUGAGAGGGUGAUCGGCCACACUGGAACUGAGACACGGUCCAGACUCCUACGGGAGGCAGCAGUAGGGAAUCUUCCGCAAUGGGCGAAAGCCUGACGGAGCCACGCCGCGUGAGUGAUGAAGGUCUUCGGAUCGUAAAACUCUGUUAUUAGGGAAGAACAACUGUGUAAGUAACUAUGCACGUCUUGACGGUACCUAAUCAGAAAGCCACGGCUAACUACGUG